This 29-nucleotide non-coding RNA is filed under the name Rattus norvegicus (Norway rat). The record is from RNAcentral. Lineage: Eukaryota; Metazoa; Chordata; Mammalia; Rodentia; Muridae.
UGAAAUUGAGGGUUCUAAAUGACCAAGCU